UGGCUGAUCUACUUAUGAAACCACUAGAUGGAUUGAGGUUUGAGUCGCUUCGGACGGCUGUUGGUGUUUGUUCACCUAUCUGAUCGUGGAUUCAUGCAUAUUCAUGCAUUCAUCACAUAUGCACCUAGUCACUUCAUAUCUUGCAUGUGAUCUGUGUGUGUGUGAUGCAUUUUUGAUUGUUAGUUUGUCGUUUAGUCUUCUUUUGUGUGUUAUAUUUUUGUGUUUAAAU
RNAcentral lists this long non-coding RNA (229 nucleotides) under Olea europaea (common olive). RNAcentral describes it as "long non-coding RNA (OEUR_LNC014021)". The record is from RNAcentral. Lineage: Eukaryota; Viridiplantae; Streptophyta; Magnoliopsida; Lamiales; Oleaceae.